GAUGAACGCUGGCGGCGUGCCUAAUACAUGCAAGUCGAGCGAACGGACGAGAAGCUUGUCUUCCUGCUGUUAGCGGCGGACGGGUGAGUAACACGUGGAUAACCUACCUAUAAGACUGGGAUAACUUCGGGAAACCGGAGCUAAUACCGGAUAAUAUUUUGAACCGCAUGGUUCAAAAGUGAUAGACGGUCUUGCUGUCACUUAUAGAUGGUUCCGCGUUGCAUUAGCUAGUUGGUAAGGUAACGGCUUACCAAGGCAACGAUGCAUAGCCGACCUGAGAGGGUGAUCAGCCACACUGGAACUGAGACACGGUCCAGACUCCUACGGGAGGCAGCAGUGGGGAAUCUUCCGCAAUGGGCGAAAGCCUGACGGAGCAACGCCGCGUGAGUGAUGAAGGUCUUCGGAUCGUAAAACUCUGUUAUUAGGAAAGAACAGAUGUGUGAUUAACUGUGCACAUCUUGACGGUACCUAAUCAGAAAGCCACGGCUAACUACGUG
Molecule: ribosomal RNA, 497 nt
Filed under: uncultured bacterium
Lineage: Bacteria
Description: partial 16S ribosomal RNA
Rfam family: Bacterial small subunit ribosomal RNA
Source: RNAcentral